This 72-nucleotide transfer RNA is filed under the name Ovis aries (sheep). It matches the Rfam family "tRNA". From Rfam's summary of the family: Transfer RNA (tRNA) molecules are approximately 80 nucleotides in length. Their secondary structure includes four short double-helical elements and three loops (D, anti-codon, and T loops). The record is from Rfam by way of RNAcentral. Lineage: Eukaryota; Metazoa; Chordata; Mammalia; Artiodactyla; Bovidae.
UCCUUGGUGGCUCAGAUGGUAAAGCGUCUGCCUAUAAUGCAGGAGACCCAAGUUCGAUCCCUGGGUUGGGAA